AUGCGUGGCCUCCUCGAGGUCCACGCGAUUGGCAGGGACGCCGCGUCGACGAGCUCAUCGAAACUGAAGGCCGUUCCCGCAUUGGACAUGAUGAGGUACCAAAGGCUCAGCCCGGACUGCCUCCCGCUCGCCAACGGUGGCGGCAGCGGCGGCGUUGCACGCAAGCCGGCCUCGAGAUCCUUUAGAGACGACGAAGGACCGGCCGCCGCCACCGACGGUUCCCGACUGGCCUCGUACCUCGCCGCCUCCCAGGCGGACUCCAAGCCGCCGGUGCGGGCGCGCGCACCGCAGCCGCCGGCCGCGCGGAGCCCGGCGCGGGACCACGGCCAGCACCACCCAUCCGACUCCUCCGACACGGCUUCCCCAAGCUCCACCGGCGCGGGCUCCGGCCCGGUCGGCGGCGACGUGCUGCUACAGUGGGGACACAACAAGCGGUCCCGCUGCCGGCGCGACUCCUCCGCGGCGUCCUCGUCGGCGUCGCCGUCCUCGCAGCGUCGGCAGACCCUCGGCAACGGCAAGAUCCAGCGGCGCGCGUCGGCGCCGGCGCCGGCGGAGAAGUUGAUGCCCCCUCCUCCGGCCACGAUCACGCGGGGGUCCAACCUGAGGUCCUCGUCGUCCUUCCCACCCCGCGUCGCCGGAGGAGACGCCAACCACCAGCUUCCCCACCACGGCAGGUCCGUUGAGGAGCGAUCGGGCGGCGUGCACAAGCGGUCGUCGCCCGACAAGGCGCCGCACCACAAGCCCCCCGCCGCGGAGCAUCACAUGGAUUCCAAGAACGCCCACCACCACCACCACCACCACAGCAACAACCACGACUCGCAGCUGGUGGCCGCCGACAACGGCACGGGCGCCGGCGAGAAGCUGGGCGGGGAGCGGUUGGAGCUUCCCCGGAUCUACAUCUCGCUGUCCCGCAAGGAGAAGGAGGACGACUUCCUGGUGAUGAAGGGCACCAAGCUGCCCCAGAGGCCCAAGAAGCGGGCCAAGAACGUGGACAAGUCGCUCCAAUUCGUGUUUCCAGGGAUGUGGCUCUCGGAUUUGACCAAAGGCCGGUAUGAGGUGCGAGAGAAGAAAUGUGCCAAGAAGAGGCGAAGAGGGCUGAAGGGGAUGGAGAGCAUGGACAGCGACUCGGAGUGA
RNAcentral lists this ribosomal RNA (1134 nucleotides) under Triticum aestivum (bread wheat). Its description in RNAcentral is "partial small subunit ribosomal RNA". Lineage: Eukaryota; Viridiplantae; Streptophyta; Magnoliopsida; Poales; Poaceae. The record is from RNAcentral.